Long non-coding RNA from Dermochelys coriacea (leatherback sea turtle), 862 nucleotides. RefSeq lists it as uncharacterized. The record is from RefSeq and is a predicted model, not a curated record. The transcript is spliced from 3 exons. NCBI's taxonomy places the organism in Eukaryota, Metazoa, Chordata, Testudines, Dermochelyidae.
GUGGUCAGCCUACCCCUUCCAUUUAGCAUGGCCCUUUGAGUGUUUGAAAGGCCCAAUAGGAGGAUAUAGAGAGACCGAAGAGAGGCAGAGAUCAUGAAGAAGCAGCCCUGGGAAUGAAUACUGCUUGGAGAAGGAAUCCUGUUACUGUACCUUCAAGAGCCUUGUAGUGGGGGUGGAGCAAGGUUCUCUCACUCAACCAAUUAGGAAGUUGUUGGGAGAAGAGGGCUAGCACAAAGGCUGCCUACUUCUUCACACUAGGGUAGCCACUAACAGGAGAAGGCUGGCCUGCUGAAUGCAAGAGAUUGGAAGGCUAAUUGGGAAGGGUAUACAGCUGAAGGGAUCUUGCAGCUGAUUAACCCAAGGUUUGAGACACAAACUUCAGCUCAAAGAGAGGGAACUUGUACUUGAAGAAUAAGACUGACUGACCUAAAGCAAGAGAUCUGAAACAAUUGCUAGCACAACAAUCCAGCUGCUGCAGGGAAGAGCUGAGACUGGCUUUUAGGAAGUGCCUCUGUAGCUGGCCCCAGGAGAAGCCAUGAGGAACCAUAAAAGUUCAGGUUCAUGUCAGACAUGUGGGGAAAGGGAGCUGGAUCUUGCCUUGAAUGAUGCUUUCUCCAAGAUGAUCAAUAUCACCUAGAAGGAGUCUGAGCUAAUCUGUGAUGGCACAUCAAAUAGAACCCAGCAGUAGUGUGAACAGUCUGCUGUAUGCUUGGACUAUAGAAAUUAUACAUGCAGGCAGAUGGUUCUCCUGAACUUACAGAAGCAUUGAUGUUCCUUGUCUAAACUCUCCCCUCCCUGAAACCGUACCAUUCAUUGAUGGUCACGUCACAGCUCAGCUAGGCUGGAUAUUAUGCUGGAGGAA